This 253-nucleotide ribosomal RNA is filed under the name uncultured bacterium. RNAcentral describes it as "partial 16S ribosomal RNA". It matches the Rfam family "Bacterial small subunit ribosomal RNA", at positions 524 to 776 of the family's 1533-position model. The record is from RNAcentral.
UACGGGGGGGGCAAGCGUUGUUCGGAAUUACUGGGCGUAAAGGGCUCGUAGGCGGCCAACUAAGUCAGACGUGAAAUCCCUCGGCUUAACCGGGGAACUGCGUCUGAUACUGGUUGGCUUGAGUUUGGGAGAGGGAUGCGGAAUUCCAGGUGUAGCGGUGAAAUGCGUAGAUAUCUGGAGGAACACCGGUGGCGAAGGCGGCAUCCUGGACCAACACUGACGCUGAGGAGCGAAAGCCAGGGGAGCAAACGGG